Molecule: ribosomal RNA, 461 nt
Filed under: uncultured bacterium
Lineage: Bacteria
Description: bacterial SSU rRNA
Rfam family: Bacterial small subunit ribosomal RNA
Source: RNAcentral
CAGUAGUCACGUAGUUGAUCCUGGCUCAAGAACGAACGCUGGCGGCAGGCUUAACACAUGCAAGUCGAGCGCGUAGCAAUACGAGCGGCAGACGGGUGAGUAACGCGUGGGAAUCUACCCAACCCUACGGAAUAACGCAUGGAAACGUGUGCUAAUACCGUAUACGCCCUUCGGGGGAAAGAUUUAUCGGGGAUGGAUGAGCCCGCGUUGGAUUAGCUAGUUGGUGGGGUAAAGGCCUACCAAGGCGACGAUCCAUAGCUGGUCUGAGAGGAUGAUCAGCCACAUUGGGACUGAGACACGGCCCAAACUCCUACGGGAGGCAGCAGUGGGGAAUAUUGGACAAUGGGCGCAAGCCUGAUCCAGCCAUGCCGCGUGAGUGAUGAAGGCCUUAGGGUUGUAAAGCUCUUUUGUCCGGGAAGAUAAUGACUGUACCGGAAGAAUAAGCCCCGGCUAACUUCGUG